UACGUAGGGGGCAAGCGUUGUCCGGAUUUAUUGGGCGUAAAGAGCGUGUAGGCGGCUUUACAGGUCCGUUGUGAAAACUCGAGGCUCAACCUCGAGACGCCGGUGGAAACCGUAAGGCUAGAGUCCGGAAGAGGAGAGUGGAAUUCCUGGUGUAACGGUGAAAUGCGCAGAUAUCAGGAGGAACACCAGCGGCGAAGGCGCUGCUCUGGGCCGGUACUGACGCUGAGGAGCGAAAGCGUGGGGAGCGAACAGG
Molecule: ribosomal RNA, 253 nt
Filed under: uncultured bacterium
Lineage: Bacteria
Description: partial 16S ribosomal RNA
Rfam family: Bacterial small subunit ribosomal RNA
Source: RNAcentral